UAGAGCUGGGGCAGUGAUGGGUUCUGCAUGCUGCGUCGGACACAGAGUGGAACCCUAGCGACCUGCGAUACACAUCUCCUCUCCAUCACACUGGGCUCUGGUUGUGCAUGUGUGAUGCUGCAGUACAAGAUUGAUAACCUCACCCCAUACAAUGCCGACAACUGCGUGUGUAUUGAUUCUAAUCCUCAUGUUGAAGCAAACUACACAGUUUCAUUGAUCGUUGAAGAAAGUAUGCAUUGGGCCCCCGGGCAGCCGAAGAACCUCCAUGUGACUGACUCCUCCAACUCCACCAUCUCCCUGGCCUGGGCUCAGCCGGAGCUGGGGGCGAGCCCUCGGGAAACAUCCUGGAGAUCCAGGCUGACACAAUUGAAUACAAUAUUCUGAGUCUUUGACUGUGCUGUACCGCAUUAUAGAGAGAGACAAGACCAUUCCUCAGUGAUCAUGGUGUGAAAAUCUGCAUUGAAGGCAUCUCCCUCAUCGAUUUGUUGUUUGUAAGUGAUUUUUGGAGGAUUGCAAUAGCAAGCAUUUGUCAACUGAGCGCCUGAUGCUAGCCUAAAGCUUUUUCCUUUUCUCCCAUUGUGAAUGAAAGUGACUGGCAACAGGAAGAUGCAGCAUUUUAUAUAUUACAGAAUUCAGGUCAGAGCCAAGCUGAAAAACCAAAUGCAGG
This is a long non-coding RNA of Polyodon spathula (Mississippi paddlefish), 667 nucleotides long. RefSeq lists it as uncharacterized. Lineage: Eukaryota; Metazoa; Chordata; Actinopteri; Acipenseriformes; Polyodontidae. The transcript is spliced from 4 exons. The record is from RefSeq and is a predicted model, not a curated record.